UGCCGCUUGCGAGGGCGUAUGGUGGAUGCCUUGGCAGACAGUACCGAUGAAGGACGUUUGAGGAUGCGAUAAUCCUAGGGGAGCCUCCAACAUGGCUUUGAUCCUAGGGUCUCCGAAUGGGGGAACCCGCCGGCCGUCAUGGGCCGGCACCGCACGUUGUUGCGGGGGGUACGCAGGGAAGUGAAACAUCUCAGUACCUGCAGGAAGGGAUACUCCGUGAGUAGUGGCGAGCGAAAGCGGAUCAGACCAAACCGGUUGCGCGUGAUACCCGUCGGGGGUUGCGUUUCCGGUGUUGUGGGAUCACGUGUCCCGGUUCCGACGGGCCGGGCGGGAGUCAUAAAACGGCUUGCCAGGGGAACAGGCUUGAAGGCCUGGCCGUAGAGGGUGCCAGCCCCGUACCUGGACGUGAGCCGUCUUCCGAUCGUGUUGUCCCAAGUAGCGCGGGCCUCGUGGAAUCCCGCGUGAAUCAGCCCAGACCGUUGGGUAAGUCUAAGCAUACCUGUCUGACCGAUAGCGUACCAGUACCGUGAGGGAAAGGUGAAAAGCACCCCGGGAGGGGAGUGAAACAGUUCCUGAAACCGUGCGCCCACAAACCGUCGGAGCCUCCUUGUGGGGUGACGGCGUGCCUAUCGAAAAAUGAGUCUGCGAGUCAGUGGCGGGUGGCGAGCAUAAGCCGUGUGGCGUAUGCGUAGCGAAAGCGAGUCUUAAAAGGCGUUUUUUAGUCGCUUGUCCUGGACCCGAAGCGGGAUGAUCUAGCCCUGGGCAGGUUGAAGCGCGGGUAAGACCGCGUGGAGGACCGAACCCACCUGGGUUGAAAACCGGGGGGAUGACCUGGGGCUAGGGGUGAAAGGCCAAUCAAAUUCCGUGAUAGCUGGUUCUCUCCGAAAUGCAUUUAGGUGCAGCGUCGGUCGAUUGCGUCGCGGGGGUAGAGCUACCGGAUGCUUGCGGGCCCUUGUUGGGUACCAACAGCAGCCGAACUCCGAAUACCGUUGACGUGUAUUCCGGCAGUGAGUCGGCGGGGGAUAAGCUCCGUCGUCGAGAGGGAGACAGCCCAGACCGUCGUCUAAGGUCCCGAAGCGUGUGCUAAGUGGGAAAGGAUGUGGAGUCGCAUAGACAGCCAGGAGGUUGGCUCAGAAGCAGCCAUCCUUGAAAGAGUGCGUAACAGCUCACUGGUCUAGUGGUUCCGCGCCGACAAUGUAGCGGGGCUCAAGCACACCACCGAAGACGCGGCAGCAAUCUUCAUGGUUGCUGGGUAGGAGAGCGUCCUGCGAGGGGCGAAGCGGCCGGGUAACCGUGCCGUGGACUUCGUGGGAGUGAGAAUGCAGACAUGAGUAGCGAGAGACGGGUGAGGAUCCCGUCCGCUGGAUGACCAAGGGUUCCGGGGCCACGUUCGUCGUCCCCGGGUGAGUCGGGUCCUAAGGCGAGGCCGACAGGCGUAGUCGAAUGGAUGAACGGGUGGAUAUUCCCGUACCGACCAUGGACCGGCAAAACCGAGACGGUGAGUACUAACCUCCGCCUCGUGGUGGUUCCUUCCUUCGGGUUGGUAUCGCCGCGUGGUGUUGGGAGCGUAGCCGCAGUAGGUCAGCGCAGGGGUGACACGGAAUGGGAGCCGGCCGCGGAGGUGGUUUUCCGUGGUCAAGCACGCAGCCAGUCAUGUAGGCAAAUCCGCAUGGCGCGCAUGGCGAGGUGUGAUGAUGGGAGCCGUUAUGGCUCGAUAUCCGGUUGUCCAGGCCGUCGAGAAAAGCCUCGGCGUGAGGGCCAUGGCCGCCCGUACCCCAAACCGACACUGGUGGUCAGGUAGAGAAUACCAAGGCGAUCGAGCGAAUCCUGGUCAAGGAACUCGGCAAAUCACUCCCGUGCCUUCGGUAUAAGGGAGACCCGCUGGGGUGAACCGGCUAGCCCGGGGAGCUUUGGUGGGUGGCACAGACCAGGGGGUAGCGACUGUUUACCAAAAACACAGGUGCAUGCGAAGGCGAAAGCCGCUGUAUAUGCACUGACGCCUGCCCGGUGCCGGAAGGUUAAGAGGAUCCGUCAACUCUUCGGAGCGAAGCGGUGAAUUCAAGCCCCGGUAAACGGCGGUGGUAACUAUAACCAUCCUAAGGUAGCGAAAUUCCUUGUCGGGUAAGUUCCGACCUGCACGAAUGGCGUA
This 2149-nucleotide ribosomal RNA is filed under the name human gut metagenome. RNAcentral describes it as "bacterial LSU rRNA". It matches the Rfam family "Bacterial large subunit ribosomal RNA", at positions 1 to 2003 of the family's 2925-position model. The record is from RNAcentral.